GACGAACGCUGGCGGCGUGCUUAACACAUGCAAGUCGAACGGAAAGGCCCUGCUUUUGUGGGGUGCUCGAGUGGCGAACGGGUGAGUAACACGUGAGUAACCUGCCCUUGACUUUGGGAUAACUUCAGGAAACUGGGGCUAAUACCGGAUAGGAGCUCCUGCUGCAUGGUGGGGGUUGGAAAGUUUCGGCGGUUGGGGAUGGACUCGCGGCUUAUCAGCUUGUUGGUGGGGUAGUGGCUUACCAAGGCUUUGACGGGUAGCCGGCCUGAGAGGGUGACCGGCCACAUUGGGACUGAGAUACGGCCCAGACUCCACCGGGAGGCAGCAGAGGGGAAUAUUGCACAAUGGGCGGAAGCCGGAUGCAGCAACGCCGCGUGCGGGAUGACGGCCUUCGGGUUGUAAACCGCUUUCGCCUGUGACGAAGCGUGAGUGACGGUAAUGGGUAAAGAAGCACCGGCUAACUACGUG
RNAcentral lists this ribosomal RNA (468 nucleotides) under uncultured bacterium. RNAcentral's name for it is "partial 16S ribosomal RNA". It matches the Rfam family "Bacterial small subunit ribosomal RNA", at positions 28 to 507 of the family's 1533-position model. The record is from RNAcentral.